UACGUAGGGUGCGAGCGUUAAUCGGAAUUACUGGGCGUAAAGCGUGCGCAGGCGGCGCGUUAAGACAGGUGUGAAAGCCCCGAGCUUAACUUGGGAAUUGCGCUUGUGACUGGCGUGCUGGAGUGUGGCAGAGGGAGGUGGAAUUCCACGUGUAGCAGUGAAAUGCGUAGAGAUGUGGAGGAACACCGAUGCCGAAGGCAGCCUCCUGGGCCAGCACUGACGCUCAUGCACGAAAGCGUGGGGAGCAAACAGG
Molecule: ribosomal RNA, 253 nt
Filed under: uncultured bacterium
Lineage: Bacteria
Description: partial 16S ribosomal RNA
Rfam family: Bacterial small subunit ribosomal RNA
Source: RNAcentral